Achroia grisella is the source of this 92-nucleotide small nuclear RNA. NCBI's taxonomy places the organism in Eukaryota, Metazoa, Arthropoda, Insecta, Lepidoptera, Pyralidae. The record is from RefSeq and is a predicted model, not a curated record.
GUGUCUAUGUAAAGGAGAGAUGGUUAGCACUUCCCUUGACAAGAAUGGAACACACAAAAUAGCUAAGGUACUACUUGAUCGCACUUUUUUUU